UACGUAGGGGGCAAGCGUUGUCCGGAAUCAUUGGGCGUAAAGCGCGUGUAGGCGGUCCGAUCAGUCGGCUGUGAAAGUCCAGGGCUCAACCCUGGGAUGCCGGUCGAUACUGUCGGGCUAGAGUCCGGAAGAGGCGAGUGGAAUUCCCGGUGUAGCGGUGGAAUGCGCAGAUAUCAGGAAGAACACCGACGGCGAAGGCAGCUCGCUGGGACGGUACUGACGCUGAGGCGCGAAAGCGUGGGGAGCGAACAGG
RNAcentral lists this ribosomal RNA (253 nucleotides) under uncultured bacterium. RNAcentral's name for it is "partial 16S ribosomal RNA". It matches the Rfam family "Bacterial small subunit ribosomal RNA", at positions 524 to 776 of the family's 1533-position model. The record is from RNAcentral.